RNAcentral lists this ribosomal RNA (447 nucleotides) under uncultured bacterium. RNAcentral's name for it is "partial 16S ribosomal RNA". It matches the Rfam family "Bacterial small subunit ribosomal RNA", at positions 29 to 523 of the family's 1533-position model. The record is from RNAcentral.
AACGAACGCUGGCGGCAGGCCUAACACAUGCAAGUCGAACGCCCCGCAAGGGGAGUGGCGCACGGGUGAGUAACGCGUGGGAAUAUGCCCUUCGGUUCGGAAUAACACAGGGAAACUUGUGCUAAUACCGGAUACGAUCUACGGAUGAAAGAUUUAUCGCCGAGGGAGUAGCCCGCGUAGGAUUAGCUAGUUGGUGAGGUAAUGGCUCACCAAGGCGACGAUUCUUAGCUGGUCUGAGAGGAUGAUCAGCCACACUGGGACUGAGACACGGCCCAGACUCCUACGGGAGGCAGCAGUGGGGAAUAUUGGACAAUGGGCGAAAGCCUGAUCCAGCCAUGCCGCGUGAGUGAUGAAGGCCUUAGGGUUGUAAAACUCUUUCGCCAGGGAAGAUAAUGACGGUACCUACAGAAGAAGCCCCGGCUAACUUCGUGCCAGCCGCCGCCGUAA